CAGUCGCCACGGUAAAACGGAGGGUGCAAGCGUUAAUCGGAAUUACUGGGCGUAAAGCGUGCGUAGGCGGUUCGUUAAGUCUGUUGUGAAAGCCCCGGGCUCAACCUGGGAAUGGCAAUGGAUACUGGCGAGCUAGAGUGUGUCAGAGGAUGGUGGAAUUCCCGGUGUAGCGGUGAAAUGCGUAGAGAUCGGGAGGAACAUCAGUGGCGAAGGCGGCCAUCUGGGACAACACUGACGCUGAGGCACGAAAGCGUGGGGAGCAAACAGGAUUAGAUACCCGCGUAGUCCCUGUCUCUUAUAC
Molecule: ribosomal RNA, 301 nt
Filed under: uncultured bacterium
Lineage: Bacteria
Description: partial 16S ribosomal RNA
Rfam family: Bacterial small subunit ribosomal RNA
Source: RNAcentral